ACGAAGGGCAUGGCGGGGAUGUGUGUUUCAUUUGACAGAGUUGAAACAGUCGUUCGCUGCUGUAGGUGGUCAAAUAUUUAUGCUACUUGGGAACAUCUAGUGGCUCCGACAUUGAAUCCUUGCAGUAGUACGUGAACCUCAUUCCCAGCAUGUGCAUCAACUAGUGAUGAGAACACAUGCUGUGCCUGCCACAAAGGAGGAUAAAAGGGAGAACAUUGUAGAACAUUGCCUUGACACCGGUCAUCUUAUGGAAUACAACAACACGGAGAUUCUGGCUUGCACGUCCAGCUAUUGGGAUAGUGUUAUUAAGAAAGCUGUUGAAAUCAGACUAUCAAGCAACCUUAUUAACAGAGAUGGUGGAUUUUGUUUAAAUGCUGCUUGGAAUCCGGCUCUCUCUCACAUCAAAAAACAAAGGGACAGAAUUAGUGCUACCUCACCUGUUGAUUAAUAGUAACUAUCAAUAUUUCUGAUAUUGGUUAUCUUUGGCUGUGUUGACACUUGUUCUGUGUGUGGUGUCUUCCUUGUUUCUC
Schistocerca cancellata (South American locust) is the source of this 530-nucleotide long non-coding RNA. RefSeq lists it as uncharacterized. Lineage: Eukaryota; Metazoa; Arthropoda; Insecta; Orthoptera; Acrididae. The record is from RefSeq and is a predicted model, not a curated record. The transcript has 3 exons.